GGGUGUGCACUGAUAUGGGUAGUUGCGAGGCCUAGGCUACUAGGGUUGACCUUGGGAGAAGAGUCUCUCCUCUGUUGCUUUAGGUUCCUAGUAAGGCAGCACAGGUAUCACCGUGGAGACCAAGCCUGCUUCUGUGAUCCAGGUUCAGCUGCCUUCUGCUUCCGCAGAGGGCUCUCUGACAUGACGUCUUGCGCUGAAGCCUCAGAUGCCUGGAGACCAGCGUCAAAGACAUCAGCUCCUUUGUUUUCCAAGGGAAAGAGGAGAGGUGUGGGCGCUGAAGAGCCUAGAGAACCAAACACUACUGAGACCCUGCCAAGGAUGAAGGGACAUACAGACAAUUGGUGACACAUGAGCUCCAGUCACAUUCAGAAGACUCCUCUGAACAGUUUGAACUGACAGCUGCUGUGUACAUCCCCAGCCCCCAGCACAGAAUGCCCUACAAGUCACUGCCCCUGGGGAUUACCACCAUCGGGGUCAUCAGCAAUGCCUGGGUAUAGCCAGCCUCCAUUUCCCCAAUCCAGAUCCAGAGGGAGAGCUACACUUGCACGGAACAGCCCUCCAGUGUGCUAGAGCUGUCUACAUGCAGGUAUCAUGUCAUUUAGAGAUCACUUAAAGUGUGCUAUAGAAUGCAUCUGGGUUCUGUGAAAAUUCAGUGCUGGGGGCUGGAGAGAUGGCUCAGCCGUGAAGAGCACCGACUGCACUUCCAGAGGUCCUGAAUUCAAGUCCCAGCAACCACAUGGUGGCUCACAAACAUCUGUAAUGGAAUCCGAUGUCCUCUUCUAGUGUAUCUGAAGACAGUGACAGUGUACUCACAUACA
This is a long non-coding RNA of Apodemus sylvaticus (European woodmouse), 818 nucleotides long. RefSeq lists it as uncharacterized. The record is from RefSeq and is a predicted model, not a curated record. The transcript has 3 exons. NCBI's taxonomy places the organism in Eukaryota, Metazoa, Chordata, Mammalia, Rodentia, Muridae.